UGAACUCUGCCUGUUGCCAGGACAUA
RNAcentral lists this non-coding RNA (26 nucleotides) under Mus musculus (house mouse). The record is from RNAcentral. Lineage: Eukaryota; Metazoa; Chordata; Mammalia; Rodentia; Muridae.